AGAAAAUUGUUCCAAUCCCCAACGGCAUUGAAUCAAUGCAUCAAUCCAACUUUCCCAGCACUAGGUGUGGCCGUGUGGGGCUACUGCUUGUCUGCUUCUUAUCUUUUACAAAGUGGGAAGCAAGCCACUGGCUACAAUUAUUGGCGACUCUUGGUUAGGUUUACGGUUUACCCACUCCCCCCCCCCCCCCCCCCUCUCCUAUAUAUGGUACCUCGAGCUCACUGGUGAGCAGUAGUGCGCAAGCCCUUGGAGUUGGCUGGGAGGGCAAGGUAGACUUGUGAGGAAGUUGUAGUUGGGAUGGGAGGCUUGGGAAGAAAUUACUGGAACUCAUCCGAGUUAACCCGAAAUUUCUUUCCUAUUCCUCCCAUCCCUACUGAAUUUCCCAAGGUUUCUCCCUUUCCUAUUCCCAGUCCUUUGUUUUUCUCCUACGACAUCUGGUGCCGAACCGAACGUUCUACCUCUCUCCAGAUGAUAGAGAAGCUUAAUCUGAUGGAGAAAGACCCUCAUCAAGUUUAUGAAUAACGUAUAGCUGGUUUGAGGUCUACUGAUAGAUUAGACAAAAGCAUAGCAAAUAUGUAAAGCUUGCAAUGUAUGAGGUUAAUUAUCUUCAUGUCUUGUUAAUUUCCAGGCAAAAAGAAAUGCUUUCUUGGAAGUUUUAA
This is a long non-coding RNA of Rosa rugosa (rugosa rose), 659 nucleotides long. RefSeq lists it as uncharacterized. The transcript is spliced from 2 exons. Lineage: Eukaryota; Viridiplantae; Streptophyta; Magnoliopsida; Rosales; Rosaceae. The record is from RefSeq and is a predicted model, not a curated record.